Long non-coding RNA from Glycine soja, 345 nucleotides. RefSeq lists it as uncharacterized. Lineage: Eukaryota; Viridiplantae; Streptophyta; Magnoliopsida; Fabales; Fabaceae. The record is from RefSeq and is a predicted model, not a curated record. The transcript is spliced from 4 exons.
GGAUUUGUCACACAAUGAAUUGGAAGGACCUUUGCUGGAAUUUCUAGUAGAAUUGCCAAAGUUGAAAAUUCUUAAUGUAACAGGGAACAGGCUUUUGGGUCCAAUUCCUAAGGCUCUCAAGGAAAAGGCAGAUUGGCAAUUAAGACUCAUGCAAAAAGAACUUUGUUACACCACUGGUUGCAUCACUUUCAUCAGCACAAGGUUAUAAGGAAUUCCGAUCAGAGGCACAACUUCUAGUGAUUGUUCAUCAUAGAAAUUUAGUAUCUCUCAUUGGAUACUGUGGUGAAGGUGAAAGUAAAGCAUUGAUUUAUGAAUACAUGGCCAAUGGAAAUCUCCACCAGCACU